UACGGAGGGGGCAAGCGUUGUUCGGAAUUACUGGGCGUAAAGGGCUCGUAGGUGGCCAACUAAGUCAGACGUGAAAUCCCUCGGCUUAACCGGGGAACUGCGUCUGAUACUGGAUGGCUUGAGUGUGGGAGAGGGAUGCGGAAUUCCAGGUGUAGCGGUGAAAUGCGUAGAUAUCUGGAGGAACACCGGUGGCGAAGGCGGCAUCCUGGACCACGACUGACGCUGAGUGAGCGAAAGCCAGGGGAGCAAACGGG
RNAcentral lists this ribosomal RNA (254 nucleotides) under uncultured bacterium. RNAcentral describes it as "partial 16S ribosomal RNA". It matches the Rfam family "Bacterial small subunit ribosomal RNA", at positions 524 to 776 of the family's 1533-position model. The record is from RNAcentral.